This is a non-coding RNA of Neurospora crassa OR74A, 650 nucleotides long. The record is from RefSeq and is a predicted model, not a curated record. Lineage: Eukaryota; Fungi; Ascomycota; Sordariomycetes; Sordariales; Sordariaceae.
CGAGUAUAUUCUUGUGGACGACGGAAACGGAAUGAAAAGAGAGCUAUUAUGCGUGUUCUGAUGGAGUAUGCGUUUUACUUCUACCGGGUGGCAUAUCACCUCUACUAGUAGUCGGCCCGGGCCGCGUAAGGCUGAAUGUGUAUUCUUGUCAUGCCACGCAGCAGAACCAGGUCGUUUGCCGGUCUUCAAUGGGUAGGAUUUGCUACAAGUGCUCCUUGCUCAUACAUGUAAGACAGAACAUGUAGACGUAGCCUUUGAUAUGCUAUGACACUUGUAAAUCGGCGCAAUUAAUGCAUCGGGCAACUUUCAACACGCCUAUCAAAUUCCAGUGCACAGUCAACUCAGGCUUUGUGUGCUGUGAACUUGUCCAUGGCAAUCGUCAAACGUAAGAAUGGUAGCCAAGUAACAAAGUAGAAUAUCUCAGGCACUUCGCGGGCAUUUGACAGAAAAACACGAGUAGAGAUCGGAAAAUAACUAGGUGGGGACUCGAAAGUAAGCCAACACUCUCAGAGGAAACAAACCAACGAAGCGAGACAAAUCCGGAAUUUUUGUCGUCGGACAUUCCAAUCUUGAGUAUCAAAAUGGCCAACUGUAUACACUCGUACUACAGCAGUCAAACAAGUGCGCCUCUCUCUUCAUCCACAUUCACC